GACGAACGCUGGCGGCGUGCUUAACACAUGCAAGUCGAACGGAAAGGCCCUGCUUUUGUGGGGUGCUCGAGUGGCGAACGGGUGAGUAACACGUGAGUAACCUGCCCUUGACUUUGGGAUAACUUCAGGAAACUGGGGCUAAUACCGGAUAGGAGCUCCUGCUGCAUGGUGGGGGUUGGAAAGUUUCGGCGGUUGGGGAUGGACUCGCGGCUUAUCAGCUUGUUGGUGGGGUAGUGGCUUACCAAGGCUUUGACGGGUAGCCGGCCUGAGAGGGUGACCGGCCACAUUGGGGCUGAGAGACUGCCCAGACUCCUACGGGAGGCAGCAGGGGGGAAUAUUGCACAAUGGGCGGAAGCCUGAUGCAGCAACGCCGCGGGCGGGAUGACGGCCUUCGGGUUGUAAACCGCUUUCGCCUGUGACGAAGCGUGAGUGACGGUAAUGGGUAAAGAAGCACCGGCUAACUACGUG
RNAcentral lists this ribosomal RNA (468 nucleotides) under uncultured bacterium. Its description in RNAcentral is "partial 16S ribosomal RNA". It matches the Rfam family "Bacterial small subunit ribosomal RNA", at positions 28 to 507 of the family's 1533-position model. The record is from RNAcentral.